This 19-nucleotide small nuclear RNA is filed under the name Arabidopsis thaliana (thale cress). RNAcentral's name for it is "snRNA_19038". The record is from RNAcentral. Lineage: Eukaryota; Viridiplantae; Streptophyta; Magnoliopsida; Brassicales; Brassicaceae.
AGAGCCCCGUCGUGCCCGG